CCUACGGGAGGCAGCAGUGAGGAAUAUUGGUCAAUGGGCUUACGCCUGAACCAGCCAAGUCGCGUGAGGGAAGACUGCCCUAUGGGUUGUAAACCUCUUUUGUCAGGGAGCAACGCCGGCUACGUGUAGCCGGACUGAGAGUACCUGAAGAAAAAGCAUCGGCUAACUCCGUGCCAGCAGCCGCGGUAAUACGUAUGGUGCAAGCGUUAUCCGGAUUUACUGGGUGUAAAGGGAGCGCAGGCGGCACGGCAAGCCUGAUGUGAAAGCCCGCGGCCCAACCGCGGGACUGCAUUGGGAACUACCGGGCGGGAGUGCCGGAGAGGUAGGCGGAAUUCCUAGUGUAGCGGUGAAAUGCGUAGAUAUCAGGAGGAACACCGGCGGCGAAGGCGGCUUACUGGACUGUAACUGACGUUGAGGCUCGAAGGCGUGGGGAGCAAACAGGAUUAGAUACCCCGGUAGUC
This 461-nucleotide ribosomal RNA is filed under the name uncultured bacterium. RNAcentral describes it as "partial 16S ribosomal RNA". It matches the Rfam family "Bacterial small subunit ribosomal RNA", at positions 338 to 795 of the family's 1533-position model. The record is from RNAcentral.